Homo sapiens (human) is the source of this 410-nucleotide long non-coding RNA. RefSeq lists it as uncharacterized. The record is from RefSeq and is a predicted model, not a curated record. The transcript is spliced from 3 exons. NCBI's taxonomy places the organism in Eukaryota, Metazoa, Chordata, Mammalia, Primates, Hominidae.
CUGGUUUAUCCCGGAGCUGGUUUGAAUCAAGUUUCCUUCACUUACAAAUGAAAAAAAAAUCUGAUGAACUCCUAUCUAUAAAAUCCUCCUGGAGAAAUGCAGCUUUGGCAUCUAGAGAAGGACCAAGCCGGUGUGCUGCUGUGAACAGGAGAGAAGCUGGAGCCACGGGAGAUGGCUGGAAAUAGACUCGGGCUGGAUGUUUGCCAGCAGCUACGAACCUGAGAACCAACUGGGGCAGCUGCUGAGCUAUAAUGAGUGGAGCUUUGAGAAGAAACAUGCCUGGACUUCAGACUUCAGUACACAUCUACCUGCUUGGAAUCUCCAUCUGGAUGCCUACAGACAUCUGAAAUGAAAAUGCUUCGCCGGGUGCGGUGGCUUACGCCUGUAAUCCCAACACUUCUGGAGGCCGA